RNAcentral lists this ribosomal RNA (201 nucleotides) under uncultured bacterium. RNAcentral's name for it is "partial 16S ribosomal RNA". It matches the Rfam family "Bacterial small subunit ribosomal RNA", at positions 328 to 539 of the family's 1533-position model. The record is from RNAcentral.
ACGCUCGACACCUACGGGAAGGCAGCAGUGGGGGAUAUUGCGCAAUGGGGGAAACCCUGACGCAGCAACGCCGCGUGAAGGACGAAGGUUUUCGGAUUGUAAACUUCUUUUGUCAGGGACGAAGAAAUGACGGUACCUGACGAAUAAGCUCCGGCUAACUACGUGUCAGCAGCCGCGGUAAUCUGAGCGGGCUGGCAAGGC